AAUGUUGUGCUAAAGUUUACAACCCCUUUAGGAGGUGAAAAUCAAGGUGUUGGAAAGACGCUCUCAAAAGUUAAAAAAAUAUCAACUCCAGUCCCAAAAGUAGUUACGCAACCUAAAAAAAGAAGCUCAAAUCCUCAAAGAGUUAAACAAUAUCAACUCCAAUCCCAAAAGUAGUUACGCAACCUAAGAAACGGAAGCUUAAAUCCUCGAAGGCAGCUUUGAAGGAAGUGGUAUGCACUUCAACAGCUAUAGAGAAACACCCUAUAAUUCUUCCA
RNAcentral lists this long non-coding RNA (275 nucleotides) under Nicotiana benthamiana. RNAcentral describes it as "long non-coding RNA (NBEN_LNC021260)". The record is from RNAcentral. Lineage: Eukaryota; Viridiplantae; Streptophyta; Magnoliopsida; Solanales; Solanaceae.